Molecule: unclassified non-coding RNA, 354 nt
Filed under: soil metagenome
Description: partial contains 5.8S ribosomal RNA, internal transcribed spacer 2, and large subunit ribosomal RNA
Rfam family: 5.8S ribosomal RNA (bases 1-120)
Source: RNAcentral
GAUGAAGAACGUAGUGAAAUGCGAUAAGUAAUGUGAAUUGCAGAAUUCAGUGAAUCAUCGAAUCUUUGAACGCACAUUGCGCCCGCCAGUAUUCUGGCGGGCAUGCCUGUUCGAGCGUCAUUUCAACCCUCAGGCCCCCAGUGCCUGGCGUUGGGGAUCGGCGCGGCGCCCUCCGGGGCGCUGCCGGCCCCGAAAUUCAGUGGCGGUCUCGCUGUAGCCCUCCUCCGCGUAGUAGCACAACCUCGCGGCCUGGAGCUCGGCGGUGGCCAUGCCGUAAAACACCCCACUUCUGAAAGUUGACCUCGGAUCAGGUAGGAAUACCCGCUGAACUUAAGCAUAUCAAUAAGCGGAGGA